CGCGGAGCAGGCCCCUCGCCCGCGCCAUGUCUGAGGAGGGAGGCGGCAAACUGCGCCUCAAGCCCAGGAAGGCGCCGCCGGGCCGCAGCCGGGAGCCCCCCGCGCGGCGCCAAACAUUGGCCAACAGAAACUCGUGGUUUGAACAACAAGGAUUAAGUGAGUCUGAAAAUAUGUGGAUGCUGAUACUGAAGGCUGUCAAUCCAGAUCUAAAACCCACAAGCUGGGAAACAGUGCCCAGUUUACCAGAAUUUUUUGGACAGAAUUCUGAAAAUGAGAAGAACCCACCAAAACCAGAAGUCUUUAAGGUUGGAAUGAAAGAUUUUCAAUGGAUACCUCUCCCAUCUUUCUACAAAGAAAAAGCUCUUAAUAAAAAGAAUCCAAGCUGCUGUCACAUAUCAAAAAGUCAAACUGAGCAUCUAAUGGAAAGAGAGGACCAGGCAGACCAAAACCAGCUAAAUAUUGUUCCUGUAGUUGAGAAAAUAUCCCUUGCAAUUAAUGAUGAUCCAGGUGAGAUCAUAAGAAUGAAACACAGCAGGAAAAGUUCUUCAAAACUGAAAGAAAAAGGAAGGACUGAAAGGUGA
Molecule: long non-coding RNA, 581 nt
Filed under: Gopherus agassizii (Agassiz's desert tortoise)
Lineage: Eukaryota; Metazoa; Chordata; Testudines; Testudinidae
Description: lncRNA (ENSGAGG00000017089.1)
Source: RNAcentral